This 610-nucleotide ribosomal RNA is filed under the name uncultured bacterium. RNAcentral's name for it is "bacterial SSU rRNA". It matches the Rfam family "Bacterial small subunit ribosomal RNA", at positions 227 to 851 of the family's 1533-position model. The record is from RNAcentral.
GGACUCGCGUCCGAUUAGUUAGUUGGUGAGGUAACGGCUCACCAAGACCGCGAUCGGUAGCCGGACUGAGAGGUUGAACGGCCACAUUGGGACUGAGACACGGCCCAGACUCCUACGGGAGGCAGCAGUGGGGGAUAUUGCGCAAUGGGGGAAACCCUGACGCAGCAACGCCGCGUGAAGGAUGAAGGUCUUCGGAUUGUAAACUUCUUUUAUUAAGGACGAAGAAAGUGACGGUACUUAAUGAAUAAGCUCCGGCUAACUACGUGCCAGCAGCCGCGGUAAUACGUAGGGAGCAAGCGUUGUCCGGAUUUACUGGGUGUAAAGGGUGCGUAGGCGGCUUUGCAAGUCAGAUGUGAAAUCUAUGGGCUCAACCCAUAGCCUGCAUUUGAAACUGCAGAGCUUGAGUGAAGUAGAGGCAGGCGGAAUUCCCCGUGUAGCGGUGAAAUGCGUAGAGAUGGGGAGGAACACCAGUGGCGAAGGCGGCCUGCUGGGCUUUAACUGACGCUGAGGCACGAAAGCGUGGGUAGCAAACAGGAUUAGAUACCCUGGUAGUCCACGCUGUAAACGAUGAAUAGUAGGUGUGGGGGGUCUGACCCCUUCCGUGCCGGAG